GAUGAACGCUAGCCACAGGCUUAACACAUGCAAGUCGAGGGGUAACGAGAGGAAAGCUUGCUUUCCCUGUCGACGACCGGCGCACGGGUGAGUAACGCGUAUCCAACCUGCCCCCAACUAGGGAAUAACCUUGCGAAAGUAAGACUAAUACCCUAUAAUUUCCUCAGAUGACAUCUGACGAGGAAUAAAGAUUUAUCGGUUGUGGAUGGGGAUGCGUCUGAUUAGCUUGUUGGCGGGGUAACGGCCCACCAAGGCAACGAUCAGUAGGGGUUCUGAGAGGAAGGUCCCCCACAUGGGAACUGAGACACGGUCCAAACUCCUACGGGAGGAAGCAGUGAGGAAUAUUGGUCAAUGGGCGGAAGCCUGAACCAGCCAAGUAGCGUGCAGGAUGACGGCCCUAUGGGUUGUAAACUGCUUUUAUACAGGAAUAAAGUUAGCCACGUGUGGUUAUUUGUAGGUACUGUAUGAAUAAGGACCGGCUAAUUCCGUGCCAGCCGCCGCCGUAA
This 506-nucleotide ribosomal RNA is filed under the name uncultured bacterium. RNAcentral describes it as "partial 16S ribosomal RNA". It matches the Rfam family "Bacterial small subunit ribosomal RNA", at positions 28 to 523 of the family's 1533-position model. The record is from RNAcentral.